AUUUCUUUAGUAUAUUUCGUACAACUGUCUUCCACACAGUAAGAUUAAUUAUAAAAUUAAAAGAAGUA
RNAcentral lists this transfer RNA (68 nucleotides) under Travisia sanrikuensis. Its description in RNAcentral is "tRNA-Gly". The record is from RNAcentral. Lineage: Eukaryota; Metazoa; Annelida; Polychaeta; Opheliidae.